Molecule: long non-coding RNA, 2380 nt
Filed under: Apis mellifera (honey bee)
Lineage: Eukaryota; Metazoa; Arthropoda; Insecta; Hymenoptera; Apidae
Description: uncharacterized LOC113219323
Source: RNAcentral
AUUAACAAAUAUAUCUUAUUAAAAAAUUUAUGUAUAAUUGAAUAAUUCGUUCCGUUAUUAGUUUAAUCGAUUUAAUGAAAAUUUUCUAUCGUAAAUAACGUAUAAUCGAAAAUCGAUUCUCGGUCGAUAAUCAAUAUCGCAGAGAAAUCAAUAUUACCAUCGCGGAAGCGGAAGGAACGUUACCUCCGCACGACGGAUGCGAAGAUCAGUGAUUGAAUUAAUUAUUCGGCCUCUCCAUUCUAGUCGCACGAGUUCGUUCUCUUUUCACGCUUCGAGUUCGUUGUCCGAUCGAAUGGUGAACUUGUCACGCAUUGCACUUUGAUUAAAUAAAUUAAAAUAAUCGUUGAAUCAUUUCUGUCGGUAUAUUUUGAAUACUUCAGUCAGAAGAAUCUAGAUUUUUAUUUCCGAUUAAUGCUAUUUUUAAAAUGAUAAAAGACAGUUUGACUGUUGAUGCAAAUAAUACAAUUUCAUCUUCAAAAAUUUUAUUUUUUUCUUUUUACAACCAAUUUUCAUUGGUCUGAUAUAUGCGAGUUAUAAAAUUGGAAUUUCUGAAUAAUUGAAUAUUUUUCAUUUAUUCAGAACAUCCUAUACAUAUAUGUCUACAUCAUUCAACAAUAUAAAAAAAAAAAAAGAAAGAAUGAGUUACAAAGCUCUAUUGUACAAUAAUACAAUAAUCUUUACAUUGAUAAUAACAACUAUUGUGAUUAAUUUUCAUGUUAGGUCAUUUUUGAUUUAACAAUAAAAAGAUAAAGAUAAAAAAAAAUUAGAUAAAUUUUGAUCUAUUGGUGUGAUUCAUCUUUGACUAUAUCAUUACUCUGUGAUUCAUAAUUUAAGAAUUUAUCACAUUUACUCGAAUAAUAAAUUUUUGCUGUCAUUUAUUAAUUUUUGACAAUAAUUUAUACAAAUUUUUAUAAAUAAAAUAUAAUUCAAUGCAGAAAUGUUUCUGAUAGAGUUAAAGGAAAUACAUAUGAAAUUUCGUAAGCAAUCGCGUGUUAAUCGACACAUGAAACAUGGAAUUUGAGUGAAAAAAAACAUUGAUCGAAUGACACGUUUAAACACGAUGCGCACAUUUUGUGGUAACGAUUACCGAUUAAUAAAGUGCGUCAAUUGUUUCUACUCUUCUCGUGUGAAGCAAUGUACGGGUGAUGAAUUGUAUGUAAAUUUCGACGAAAUUACGACAGGUUUGGUGGUUUGUCGAAUCCCGAUAUGCAUCGACGAGCAACUCGAUUACAUCACAUGACUAAAUAACUCGCCGCUGUUUCUAUAUAAUUAUACGUCAAUUCUAUUUUUCACUAGUGAAAUUUGUCAAUGAUAAUAUUGACAAUAUUCUAAAAACUGUUUUUAAAUUCGAAUUAUAUUUCACAACUUGUCAAUAAUCAUGUGUUAAACAAUAUACAAAAACUAGAAAUAUGUAUAUCUCAUAUUAAUAUAUAUAAUUACGCAUCUUGACUUGUUCUAUAUUGAAGAUGAAGAGAAAUAGAAACAUUUCUAUUUCAUUUAUGUCACAUUUACGUUUGUUAAUUUCUCUUAUUAAACUUUUGUCGAGACGAAAUCUCCACAGAACAAAAAUUUCACUUCUUCCAUGAGAUUCGACUUAUCAAGUUUUCUAAAUCGAUUUCAAUCGAUGAUAAGUUACGUAUGCGAAACGAUUCGAUUGUUCUAUUUCCAAAGAUUGACGCGAGACGUCGCCUGUGCUUAGUCCGUAGCCCUCUACAUUCAACAUCAGAAACGAAAAAAUUAGAUUCGCUUUUAACCGUCGCGAGUAGAUUUUCAGACAUACAUAUUCACCGUUCCGGUUCUCGCGAUCCUUCGGUUGCACAGACCGUUUCAAUCUGAACCCAUUAUCUCGCUUUCGGAGUUUUACUUUUUUUUCUUUGAAUCGAUAGCCUACAAUUCUCAAAUAUAAUCAGGCCGAAUUCGAGUUACAUUGUGAAUCAUUUUAAUUUUAAUGUGUUUUUAUGCUACAUUCAAUAUCGUUUUGUAAUAUCGAAAUCUUAUAAUGUUAAGAAUAGUGUUGAUUUUUAUGUGCGGGCUCUAAAAAGAUUUGUUUUUAUUAAAUCUUGUCAAUGGACCUUGAAUAAGAGAAAUUCCAGUAAAAAUUGAAAUCCUUUCACAAAUUGGAGAAGGGCUCGUGCAGUUGUUCAACUUCUAUUGUAUUGUGGUAUCAAAUUACGUGUCGAAUACGAAGCAGGCGCGUGCGAGGAUGCGCGUGUGAAUGCACGAAUCCGGGAGCUUGUUGAAUUGAAUGUUUUGAAAAGAAUUGCUUGAUUGGUAGAUAAUGAUGAGUAAGAGAUCAGAAAGUCAGCGAGAGAGAGAAAGAGAACCAGUGACGAAGGAUAUUAGAAUGUGCAAGAUUUAUAAUGGUGUUUCAUAAUAGCAU